UACGUAGGGGGCAAGCGUUAUCCGGAUUUACUGGGUGUAAAGGGAGCGCAGACGGAACUGCAAGUCUGAUGUGAAAGCCCGGGGCUCAACCGCGGGACUGCAUCGGAUACUGUGGAUCUGGAGUGCCGGAGGGGCAAGCGGAAUUCCUGGUGUAGCGGUGAAAUGCGUAGAUAUCAGGAGGAACACCGGCGGCGAAGGCGGCUUGCUGGACGGCAACUGACGUUGAGGCUCGAAAGCGUGGGGAGCAAACAGGAUUAGAUACCCGGGUAGU
RNAcentral lists this ribosomal RNA (271 nucleotides) under uncultured prokaryote. Its description in RNAcentral is "partial 16S ribosomal RNA". It matches the Rfam family "Bacterial small subunit ribosomal RNA", at positions 524 to 794 of the family's 1533-position model. The record is from RNAcentral.